This 500-nucleotide ribosomal RNA is filed under the name uncultured bacterium. Its description in RNAcentral is "bacterial SSU rRNA". It matches the Rfam family "Bacterial small subunit ribosomal RNA", at positions 8 to 518 of the family's 1533-position model. The record is from RNAcentral.
AGAGUUUGAUCAUGGCUCAGGAUGAACGCUGGCGGCGUGCUUAACACAUGCAAGUCGAACGGAGUAUAUUUAAAGCUUGCUUUGUUAUACUAGUGGCGGACGGGUGAGUAACGCGUGGGUAACCUGCCUUAUACCGGGGGACAACAGUUGGAAACGACUGCUAAUACCGCAUAAGCGCACGAUGAGGCAUCUCAUUGUGUGAAAAAACUCCGGUGGUAUAAGAUGGACCCGCGUCUGAUUAGCCAGUUGGCGGUGUAACGGACCACCAAAGCGACCGAUCAGUAGCCGGCCUGAGAGGGCAAACGGCCACAUUGGGACUGAGACACGGCCCAAACUCCUACGGGAGGCAGCAGUGGGGAAUAUUGCACAAUGGAGGAAACUCUGAUGCCAGCGACGCCGCGUGAGUGAAGAAGUAUUUCGGUAUGUAAAGCUCUAUCAGCAGGAAAGAAAAUGACGGUACCUGACUAAGAAGCCCCGGCUAACUACGUGCCAGCAGCCGC